UUGACCUCGGAUCAGGUAGGGAUACCCGCUGAACUUAAGCAUAUCAAUAAGCGGAGGAAAAGAAACCAACAGGGAUUGCCUCAGUAACGGCGAGUGAAGCGGCAACAGCUCAAAUUUGAAAUCUGACCCCUCCGG
This 135-nucleotide ribosomal RNA is filed under the name Pseudocyphellaria coriacea. Its description in RNAcentral is "partial 26S ribosomal RNA". It matches the Rfam family "Eukaryotic large subunit ribosomal RNA", at positions 1 to 134 of the family's 3401-position model. Lineage: Eukaryota; Fungi; Ascomycota; Lecanoromycetes; Peltigerales; Lobariaceae. The record is from RNAcentral.